ACUCAAAGAAAAGUUGAUGGAAAAAGUGUUGAAUAACAAUAACAGUGGCUCCAAUGAUCAAUUUGAAGAAAAAGACUUAAUGAAAAAAAUUGGAAUGGUAUUUUUAAAAUAGGCCAUCAUGUAUGGAAGUUUAUGUUGAGGUUGUGUAUAGACAGCGCGACAAGCUAUCUUCCAAACAGAUGCUUGUCGAUUGACGCCUUAACAGUAAUUAGGAACGCCAAAGUCACGCAGAAUGUGAAAAAAAUAAAUUCUAUAUAUAAAAAUAAAAAUAAUCUAAUAAUAGUCAACCACAACUAGUUGAGAAAAUGAUUAUAUGAUUUAGCAUGGGUAAUCAUUUGAUUACCGAAAAGCACAUAAAAUGGAGAAAACCUAUGGUAGUGUGAAUCACAAAGCAUGGGUAAUUAUUUGAUUACCGAAAAGCACAUAAAAUGGAAAAAACCUAUGGUAGUGUGAAUCAUACUACGUAAUGCCACAAAUAUUGGCAUCCCAAUCCCGUUGGUCCUUCUUUAAGUAAGAAACUUAUGCCGUUCAGUUUGCUUGCGGAAUGUAUAUGGCAUUGAAGAUAUGUCUGAUUCCAUAUUUUGACAGGCUUUAGACUGUUUACAUGUUUCAUACCUAGCUAUAAAAUUUCUAACCUGCAAUGUCUGGGCGUUGGCGGGGAGGAGCUCGCCUUAGUCAAGGAACCCUGGAUCCACCAAGAAAGGGUGAGCGGACUAGGCACGAAAAGUUUUAAGCUACUGUACCAAAGAAGAUCUGUGAUAAAGACACCGUAGUAGCCACAUGGUAGACCAGUGUAGGUGCUAUAUUGGUAAUAUCCGCUUAUAUGGCUCACGACCACAGCGACCAACCACCAAACAAUUUGGUCCGCAGAUCUAUUGAGAUGGCUAAAUCUUAGGGAAUGCCGAUCAUCAUGGGGGCUGAUGCAAAUGCCCACCACACUGUCUGGGGAAGCUCGGACAUAAACGCUAGAGGAUCCGAACCGACCUUUAUUGUUGCAAACAGAAGGGAAGUUCUUGAUAUCACGCUAGAUGGUACUAUGCAAAAUGAUUGGAUCAGGGGAUGUCACGACUCGAACGACUGCACAUUCUCUGACCAUCAAUAUAUCGAUUUUGAAAUCGUAGCUAAUGUAGGGGUCAAAAGACCCUUUAGAAACAGGAGAAGAACAGACUGGGAACAGCAAUCUGCUUUAAUCUCACGUUCGCUCCAGAAUGUACCAAUUGUUGAGAG
Long non-coding RNA from Lucilia cuprina (Australian sheep blowfly), 1227 nucleotides. RefSeq lists it as uncharacterized. The transcript is spliced from 6 exons. The record is from RefSeq and is a predicted model, not a curated record. NCBI's taxonomy places the organism in Eukaryota, Metazoa, Arthropoda, Insecta, Diptera, Calliphoridae.